Molecule: small nuclear RNA, 107 nt
Organism: Lontra canadensis (Northern American river otter)
Lineage: Eukaryota; Metazoa; Chordata; Mammalia; Carnivora; Mustelidae
Source: RefSeq, a predicted model, not a curated record
CUGCUUGCGUUGACAGUACAUACACUAAAAUUGGAGUGAUACAAAGAAGAUUAAUAUGGCUUCUGCAUAAAGAUGACUCUCAGAUCCAUGGAACAUUUCAUAUUUUU